CAGCCGCCGCGGGAAUACGGAGGGUGCAAGCGUUAAUCGGAAUUACUGGGUGUAAAGCGCACGCAGGCGGUCUGACAAGUCAGAUGUGAAAUCCCCGGGCUUAACCUGGGAACUGCAUUUGAAACUGUCAGGCUGGAGUCUUGUAGAGGGGGGUAGAAUUCCAGGUGUAGCGGUGAAAUGCGUAGAGAUCUGGAGGAAUACCGGUGGCGAAGGCGGCCCCCUGGACAAAGACUGACGCCCAGGUGCGAAAGCGUGGGGAGCAAACAGGAUUAGAUACCCGCGUAGUCCCUGUCUCUUAUAC
This 301-nucleotide ribosomal RNA is filed under the name uncultured bacterium. RNAcentral's name for it is "partial 16S ribosomal RNA". It matches the Rfam family "Bacterial small subunit ribosomal RNA", at positions 509 to 807 of the family's 1533-position model. The record is from RNAcentral.